RNAcentral lists this ribosomal RNA (1000 nucleotides) under Vibrio sp. RNAcentral describes it as "bacterial SSU rRNA". It matches the Rfam family "Bacterial small subunit ribosomal RNA", at positions 57 to 1038 of the family's 1533-position model. The record is from RNAcentral. Lineage: Bacteria; Pseudomonadati; Pseudomonadota; Gammaproteobacteria; Vibrionales; Vibrionaceae.
GCAGUCGAGCGGAACGAGUUAUCUGAACCUUCGGGGAACGAUAACGGCGUCGAGCGGCGGACGGGUGAGUAAUGCCUAGGAAAUUGCCCUGAUGUGGGGGAUAACCAUUGGAAACGAUGGCUAAUACCGCAUGAUGCCUACGGGCCAAAGAGGGGGACCUUCGGGCCUCUCGCGUCAGGAUAUGCCUAGGUGGGAUUAGCUAGUUGGUGAGGUAAGGGCUCACCAAGGCGACGAUCCCUAGCUGGUCUGAGAGGAUGAUCAGCCACACUGGAACUGAGACACGGUCCAGACUCCUACGGGAGGCAGCAGUGGGGAAUAUUGCACAAUGGGCGCAAGCCUGAUGCAGCCAUGCCGCGUGUGUGAAGAAGGCCUUCGGGUUGUAAAGCACUUUCAGUCGUGAGGAAGGUAGUGUAGUUAAUAGCUGCAUUAUUUGACGUUAGCGACAGAAGAAGCACCGGCUAACUCCGUGCCAGCAGCCGCGGUAAUACGGAGGGUGCGAGCGUUAAUCGGAAUUACUGGGCGUAAAGCGCAUGCAGGUGGUUUGUUAAGUCAGAUGUGAAAGCCCGGGGCUCAACCUCGGAAUAGCAUUUGAAACUGGCAGACUAGAGUACUGUAGAGGGGGGUAGAAUUUCAGGUGUAGCGGUGAAAUGCGUAGAGAUCUGAAGGAAUACCGGUGGCGAAGGCGGCCCCCUGGACAGAUACUGACACUCAGAUGCGAAAGCGUGGGGAGCAAACAGGAUUAGAUACCCUGGUAGUCCACGCCGUAAACGAUGUCUACUUGGAGGUUGUGGCCUUGAGCCGUGGCUUUCGGAGCUAACGCGUUAAGUAGACCGCCUGGGGAGUACGGUCGCAAGAUUAAAACUCAAAUGAAUUGACGGGGGCCCGCACAAGCGGUGGAGCAUGUGGUUUAAUUCGAUGCAACGCGAAGAACCUUACCUACUCUUGACAUCCAGAGAACUUUCCAGAGAUGGAUUGGUGCCUUCGGGAACUCUGAAACAGG